GCUCAGAAUCAACGCUGGCGGCGUGCCUUAACUCAUGCAAGUCGAACGCGAAAGCCCCGCAAGGGGCAAGUAGAGUGGCAAACGGGUGAGUAACACGUGGGUGACCUGCCUUCGAGCGGGGGAUAACGUCCCGAAAGGGACGGCUAAUACCGCAUAACAUCCUGCCUUUGAAGAGGUGGAGAUCAAAGCUGGGGAUCGCAAGACCCGGCACUUGAAGAGGGGCCCGCGUCUGAUUAGCUAGUUGGUGGGGUAACGGCCUACCAAGGCAACGAUCAGUAUCCGGCCUGAGAGGGCGGACGGACACACUGGGACUGAGACACGGCCCAGACUCCUACGGGAGGCAGCAGUGGGGAAUUGUUCGCAAUGGGCGCAGGCCUGACGACGCAACGCCGCGUGGAGGAUGAAGAUUUUCNAAUCGUAAACUCCUGUCGAAUGGGACGAACAGAUUGCGGGUGAACAGCCCGUAGUCCUGACNAGUACCGUUAAAGGAA
Molecule: ribosomal RNA, 491 nt
Filed under: uncultured Acidobacteriota bacterium
Lineage: Bacteria; Pseudomonadati; Acidobacteriota
Description: bacterial SSU rRNA
Rfam family: Bacterial small subunit ribosomal RNA
Source: RNAcentral